Molecule: ribosomal RNA, 673 nt
Filed under: Escherichia coli
Lineage: Bacteria; Pseudomonadati; Pseudomonadota; Gammaproteobacteria; Enterobacterales; Enterobacteriaceae
Description: partial 23S ribosomal RNA
Rfam family: Bacterial large subunit ribosomal RNA
Source: RNAcentral
AGAACCCCGGCGAGGGGAGUGAAAAAGAACCUGAAACCGUGUACGUACAAGCAGUGGGAGCACGCUUAGGCGUGUGACUGCGUACCUUUUGUAUAAUGGGUCAGCGACUUAUAUUCUGUAGCAAGGUUAACCGAAUAGGGGAGCCGAAGGGAAACCGAGUCUUAACUGGGCGUUAAGUUGCAGGGUAUAGACCCGAAACCCGGUGAUCUAGCCAUGGGCAGGUUGAAGGUUGGGUAACACUAACUGGAGGACCGAACCGACUAAUGUUGAAAAAUUAGCGGAUGACUUGUGGCUGGGGGUGAAAGGCCAAUCAAACCGGGAGAUAGCUGGUUCUCCCCGAAAGCUAUUUAGGUAGCGCCUCGUGAAUUCAUCUCCGGGGGUAGAGCACUGUUUCGGCAAGGGGGUCAUCCCGACUUACCAACCCGAUGCAAACUGCGAAUACCGGAGAAUGUUAUCACGGGAGACACACGGCGGGUGCUAACGUCCGUCGUGAAGAGGGAAACAACCCAGACCGCCAGCUAAGGUCCCAAAGUCAUGGUUAAGUGGGAAACGAUGUGGGAAGGCCCAGACAGCCAGGAUGUUGGCUUAGAAGCAGCCAUCAUUUAAAGAAAGCGUAAUAGCUCACUGGUCGAGUCGGCCUGCGCGGAAGAUGUAACGGGGCUAAACCAUGCAC